CUGCUGCCUUCCGUAGGAGUCUGGUCCGUGUCUCAGUACCAGUGUGGGGGGCCUUCCUCUCAGAACCCCUACGCAUCGUCGCCUCGGUGGGCCGUUACCCCGCCGACUAGCUAAUGCGCCGCAUGCCCAUCCGUGGCCGGGAUUGCUCCCUUUGGCGGCCUUGGGAUGUCCCUAGGCCGCGUUACGCGGUAUUAGACGGGGUUUCCCCCGCUUAUCCCCCUGCCACGGGCAGGUUGCAUACGUGUUACUCACCCGUGCGCCGGUCGCCGGCGAACGGAACG
Molecule: ribosomal RNA, 281 nt
Filed under: uncultured bacterium
Lineage: Bacteria
Description: partial 16S ribosomal RNA
Source: RNAcentral